RNAcentral lists this ribosomal RNA (253 nucleotides) under uncultured bacterium. RNAcentral's name for it is "partial 16S ribosomal RNA". It matches the Rfam family "Bacterial small subunit ribosomal RNA", at positions 524 to 776 of the family's 1533-position model. The record is from RNAcentral.
UACAGAGGGUGCAAGCGUUGUUCGGAAUUAUUGGGCGUAAAGGGCGCAUAGGCGGUGCAGUAAGUCUGUGGUGAAAACUCUGGGCUCAACUCAGAGCCUGCCGCGGAAACUGCUGUGCUCGAGUGUGGGAGAGGUGCGUGGAAUUCCCGGAGUAGCGGUGAAAUGCGUAGAUAUCGGGAGGAACACCUGUGGCGAAAGCGGCGCACUGGACCACAACUGACGCUGAGGCGCGAAAGCUAGGGGAGCAAACAGG